GAGAAGCACAAGGACUGGACUUUGACAGGAAGCAACGAGGCAAGAGGGAAGCUCGAGAACAGGUUUUGCUGAGGAUUCCCCCCAAGAAAAGUGCUCCCCGGGAGGCCGUUCCUGGCACCAAGACUGGCGGAGCCACCACACCCGUUAAAGGGAUCCACCUGGACAGCGAUCAGGCAAGCACCUCCAAGGAUCACGUAGGACCAGCAGAAGCAGCGUAAAGUAUUGGAACUUUGAAUCUGACAUCAGAAAGACCUGCACUCAGCCGGGCACGGUGGCUCACGAUUGUAAUCCCAGGCCGAGGCGGUGGAUCACUUGAGAUUCACUGAUUCUAGGUAAAUCAGAGGAACAAGCAACAUGAACAGAAAAAAUGUAGAAAAUGCAAUUAUGCUGAAGUACAAUUGUUGUUUCAGAAGUCCAGCAUCUGGUGUACUUAACAAUAGAGAAUAUAUUAAAUUUUUCCAAAAUAAAAAAAACAAGUAGGAGA
This 484-nucleotide long non-coding RNA is filed under the name Homo sapiens (human). Its description in RNAcentral is "EPS15 antisense RNA 1, transcript variant 2 (EPS15-AS1)". Lineage: Eukaryota; Metazoa; Chordata; Mammalia; Primates; Hominidae. The record is from RNAcentral.